CCUCCCUCGGUCUUGGUCUUGAUUUGGUCUCAGCUCCUAAAAGUCUUGGUCUUGUCUCGGUCUCGAUAAACUCUGGUCUUGGUCUUGACUUGGUCUCGGUUUGGGUGGUCUUGACUACAACACUACGUACGGUCAAACGGUGUGUGAGUUUACAAAGUUGCAGAAUAUUUCUUUCGCCAAACUCAGACAUCAGUGUAGGUUUUAACACAAGGUCAGACCUCUCCAGGACUUCCUAUUUAUGCCCAUGAUCCAAGCAAAGUAGAUACUGAAGCUGCCAGGUUGAUGAUCUGUGAAAUGAACUCCCACAGCUCUGCAGCUGAAGAAAUUCUCCAUCAUAGGCCACAGUAUGGGUGAGUGCACCAUUGGAGCUUAAUAUAUCUUAAUCUGUGUUGUACAUUUUGCUGCGUAAAGUAAUCACAAAAGUGCAAAUCACAUGGAGUUUUUAUUUAAAGGUGCUGACACUGCUGGAUUGGUAAGUGUCAGGCUCUUAUCUAUUUACUCUUUUGCACACCGUAUACAAAGACCAUAUUUUCAUAUGUGUGGUAUGAUAAUAUGAUCUAAAUUGUGUUUCCCACAGUUCAGUGCACUGUAUUCUGAGAUGGUGGAUGCUCUUAUGCUUCUGGACACAUACGGAUUCCUGUCUACAGACUCAGUACAAAGUGUUUUGACACAAAUUACAGUCACUGUAGAGCUGUAACAGUUUGUGUUUUCAGAAACGUCUGACCAGACACCAAAAGAGAAAGUCUAAAAAAAGGGUCACAACAUUUUCUGUCAGGCUUAUGUCCCACAAUGUGGCUCUAAAUGUUGUUUCAAGGAAGGAAAUUCUAAAUCCUUUAUUUCUAUGUUUUGCUGGAUUUAAGUAGUCAAAUUAAGUACACUGAAUAUAAAAUCUUAGAAUCAGGCCAUUUAAUGCCCACCUUUUUGUGUUUUUUUAUUGCAGAAUGUAAUCUCCCUCCAGGUAUCUAAACCUCCCAACUGACAAAAAUAUGCGUCAGUGUAUACAAUGACUGCUGCAGCCCUGGUUAAAUGCAGACAUACCCAAAGUGAUGAGGCAGGGGAUGGAUGUGAUGCUGCAGUAUUAUAAGAAGACAGAAGAGAAGAAGGCAGUUGAGAGGUAUUUAUUAAGUCAUCCCAGGUCUUGGAAAUUUACAAAGCAGGGGUUCUUAACCUUUCUGGCAGUCCGACCCCUUUUUGAGGCUGAAAAUAUUUUGUGCCCCCCCCCAACAAGACACACACCUCCAUCCUACUCACUUAAUGGGAUCAACCUUAGCUAGCUAACUUAGCAUUGCCUUUUGAAAUUCUUAUUCUUCUUUGGCGUUUUUUAGCAGCUGGCAUUACCGCCACCUACUGGUGGUCCGUCUAGUUAUUUUUUCUAUUUUUGUGUCUAUAGCAGCAUUCUCGCAACCCCCCUGGGACCUGGUGCCAUGGGGGUCCAGACCCCCAGCUUAAGAACCACUGAUAUAAAGGACUAUUACAUUUCUAGUAACACUGUCUCCAUAGUCAGCCGUUGGCUAAAAUGCUUCAUUUCAUUCAGGAUGUUGGCUGCAAACCCGACUCUGUCCAAACAGUCUGUGUGCAUCCUUUUAGAGCGCGGCCUAGUUCAAGUUGAAGGAGGUACGUCUUUAUCUCUUCUUCUUCUCUCAGGGAGGAAUAAUCUCACCUUGCUUCCUCUCAUCUGCUGGCAGCUGAAUGUGUUUCCCUUCAGCAGGUUUUGUGUUCUCCUGAGACCUGUGACUUAAUUAUAAAAUCAUAGCACGGAUCAUUUUGGAGCAGAGUCUGGGGAUGCAGUUAAAGAUUCAAGCCGCUGUUCUUGUUCACCACUGAAGGGGAUUUUUCAGUACAACAAAUUUGUAGUACAACAGUGUGACAACAGACAGGGACAUUUCAGCUGACAUAAAUGUCAUGAGCAGCAAAACUGGUAACAAACAAAGUGAAAAUCUUAUCCCCAUCUCCCAGAUAUUCUUGCAUGCAAGUCACAAAUCUCUGUCUAUGUCAUAGUUAUCUAACAAUAACAUACCCUUUAUCCUUUUGCGUUACUCCUACAGUAUAUGGUCUUUUGUCACAUCGAACUAAUUAUGUUCAAAUCUCCUUCCAGAACAGAAAAAGGGCUUUGAUAAAAUAUUUUUUGAACCAGCUAAAAAGGAAUUUACCUCAACGCUUCUCCAAGACUGACAGGAUGGAAAUCACACAGUGGUGACAGUACCAGGCCAUCAUCAUGUUCACCUGGAUAAGCCUGAAGUUGUCGCUCCGUAUGUGUUCAACUUCCUGCGAACCAAAGUGCUCUCACAGUCAGCCAGCCAAGAGCAAAAGUUAAAAGCUACACACUCAC
Micropterus salmoides (largemouth bass) is the source of this 2329-nucleotide long non-coding RNA. RefSeq lists it as uncharacterized. NCBI's taxonomy places the organism in Eukaryota, Metazoa, Chordata, Actinopteri, Centrarchiformes, Centrarchidae. The transcript has 4 exons. The record is from RefSeq and is a predicted model, not a curated record.